This 465-nucleotide ribosomal RNA is filed under the name uncultured beta proteobacterium. RNAcentral's name for it is "bacterial SSU rRNA". It matches the Rfam family "Bacterial small subunit ribosomal RNA", at positions 198 to 644 of the family's 1533-position model. The record is from RNAcentral. Lineage: Bacteria; Pseudomonadati; Pseudomonadota; Betaproteobacteria.
GGAGAAAAGCAGGGGAUCGCAAGACCUUGCGCUCUUGGAGCGGCCGAUGUCUGAUUAGCUAGUUGGUGAGGUAAAGGCUUACCAAGGCGACGAUCAGUAGCUGGUCUGAGAGGACGACCAGCCACACUGGGACUGAGACACGGCCCAGACUCCUACGGGAGGCAGCAGUGGGGAAUUUUGGACAAUGGGGGAAACCCUGAUCCAGCCAUGCCGCGUGAGUGAAGAAGGCCUUCGGGUUGUAAAGCUCUUUCAGCCGGAACGAAACGGUCACGGCUAAUACCUGUGACUACUGACGGUACCGGAAGAAGAAGCACCGGCUAACUACGUGCCAGCAGCCGCGGUAAUACGUAGGGUGCAAGCGUUAAUCGGAAUUACUGGGCGUAAAGCGUGCGCAGGCGGUUUUGUAAGUCAGAUGUGAAAUCCCCGGGCUUAACCUGGGAACUGCGUUUGAAACUACAAAGCUAG